RNAcentral lists this unclassified non-coding RNA (673 nucleotides) under Hevea brasiliensis (rubber tree). Lineage: Eukaryota; Viridiplantae; Streptophyta; Magnoliopsida; Malpighiales; Euphorbiaceae. The record is from RNAcentral.
UCUGGUUUGGGCUCACUACUUUUGGAACGCUUGUCAGUAGAUUAUGGAAAGAAGUCAAAACUUGGCUUCACCAUCUAUCCUUCUCCUCAGGUUUCUACUGCUGUCGUGGAACCUUACAAUAGUGUGCUCUCCACUCAUUCACUCCUUGAACACACAGAUGUGGCUGUGCUUCUGGACAAUGAAGCUAUCUACGAUAUCUGCAGGAGAUCAUUAGAUAUUGAAAGGCCAACUUACACCAACUUGAACCGCUUAAUAUCCCAGAUUAUCUCUUCUUUGACCACAUCAUUGAGAUUUGAUGGGGCCAUUAAUGUGGAUAUUACGGAGUUCCAAACUAACCUUGUGCCAUAUCCUCGCAUCCAUUUCAUGCUUUCAUCUUAUGCUCCUGUAAUCUCAGCUGCAAAGGCUUACCAUGAGCAGCUUUCAGUUCCUGAGAUCACAAGUGCUGUGUUUGAGCCCUCAAGUAUGAUGGCCAAAUGUGAUCCAAGGCAUGGGAAGUACAUGGCUUGUUGUCUGAUGUAUCGGUGGUGCCAAAGGAUGUUAACGCUGCUGUUGCCACCAUCAAGACAAAGAGGACAAUUCAAUUUGUUGACUGGUGCCCAACUGGUUUCAAGUGUGGUAUCAACUACCAGCCCCCAACGGUAGUACCUGGAGGUGAUCUUGCCAGGGUACAGCG